This 301-nucleotide ribosomal RNA is filed under the name uncultured bacterium. Its description in RNAcentral is "partial 16S ribosomal RNA". It matches the Rfam family "Bacterial small subunit ribosomal RNA", at positions 509 to 807 of the family's 1533-position model. The record is from RNAcentral.
CAGUCGCCGCGGUAAUACGUAGGGUGCAAGCGUUAAUCGGAAUUACUGGGCGUAAAGCGUGCGCAGGCGGUUCGGAAAGAAAGAUGUGAAAUCCCAGGGCUCAACCUUGGAACUGCAUUUUUAACUCCCGAACUAGAGUAUGUCAGAGGGGGGUGGAAUUCCACGUGUAGCAGUGAAAUGCGUAGAUAUGUGGAGGAACACCGAUGGCGAAGGCAGCCCCCUGGGAUAAUACUGACGCUCAUGCACGAAAGCGUGGGGAGCAAACAGGAUUAGAUACCCCCGUAGUCCCUGUCUCUUAUAC